AACGAACGCUGGCGGCAGGCCUAACACAUGCAAGUCGAGCGAGGACUUCGGUUCUAGCGGCGGACGGGUGAGUAACGCGUGGGAAUGUGCCCUUCUCUACGGAAUAGCCCUGGGAAACUGGGAGUAAUACCGUAUACGCCCUAUUGGGGAAAGAUUUAUCGGAGAAGGAUCAGCCCGCGUGGGAUUAGGUAGUUGGUGGGGUAAUGGCCUACCAAGCCGACGAUCCAUAGCUGGUUUGAGAGGAUGAUCAGCCACACUGGGACUGAGACACGGCCCAGACUCCUACGGGAGGCAGCAGUGGGGAAUCUUAGACAAUGGGGGCAACCCUGAUCUAGCCAUGCCGCGUGAGUGAUGAAGGCCUUAGGGUUGUAAAGCUCUUUCAGCUGGGAAGAUAAUGACGGUACCAGCAGAAGAAGCCCCGGCUAACUCCGUG
This 433-nucleotide ribosomal RNA is filed under the name uncultured bacterium. Its description in RNAcentral is "partial 16S ribosomal RNA". It matches the Rfam family "Bacterial small subunit ribosomal RNA", at positions 29 to 507 of the family's 1533-position model. The record is from RNAcentral.